Long non-coding RNA from Ziziphus jujuba (common jujube), 620 nucleotides. RefSeq lists it as uncharacterized. NCBI's taxonomy places the organism in Eukaryota, Viridiplantae, Streptophyta, Magnoliopsida, Rosales, Rhamnaceae. The transcript has 2 exons. The record is from RefSeq and is a predicted model, not a curated record.
GAAACAGAGAUGGACAAACAGUGGUAUCCGUUUGGACGGUUUUGAUGGGACCUCUCUGAUCAAGUUGAACCUCUUCCCCUUCUUUCCCAUGGUUUUGCAGUUAUCCACAUGUCUAGCCAUCUUAAUCUCUCUUCAAGAUCGUAACUUGUGGGAAAAAUAACAGGAAAGAAAGAAAGAAUAAAGGAGCUCUAAAAGUGCAGAGAGUAGAAGACAGAAGAGCUCAUGAUGGGUUUUGAUAGAUUUUGUUGUUUAUGCAUUCUCUGAUGAGAAAUUCUUUGUGGAAACUUUCCAUCACGCCACAGGAUACACCAGGGUGUCCUCCAGCCUUUAGCUUGAUGUUUGACAUAAACGCUUUAUUUUUGGAACAACGGAGGAGGGCCAGAGCUACUGCUUCUACUGGCAUAAACUUUGCUUCUAAGACUGAUUUCACAUUGGACCAUAACCUUUUUAACUUACGACCUAAUCCCUCAUACAAUUCCCCACAUAUUCCCCUUGUUACAGGCUAUAUUUCUUUAAUUUUCGUGGCUUUUUUUUUUUUUGUUAUUUUUUUUUGUGGAAACCGAAAAUGUACAAGACGCUACUGGAACAUCUUUGAAGAACAAUGUAACCUCAAUUUUAUA